Molecule: long non-coding RNA, 776 nt
Filed under: Malus domestica (apple)
Lineage: Eukaryota; Viridiplantae; Streptophyta; Magnoliopsida; Rosales; Rosaceae
Description: long non-coding RNA (MDOM_LNC011443)
Source: RNAcentral
CCGGCCUAAAAUCGACAGAGGUAGGAGACGGCUCAUCUGACGCCAUGCUAACGUCAUGGCUACCGAGGAGGAGCCCAUGCGAGGCAGCCGAGGAGGAGGGUCGGGUUUUGGCGGGUUCAGCCUCCGGAGCUUCUUCUCGUACCGGAUCUUUGUCUCGGCUAUGUUCUCUCUCCUCUUCAUUGCCACGCUCUCGUUAUCCUCACCACAAAUCCUUCAACUCCGCACCACGACUCUGUAUGUAUUGCCCCCUCUUCCCUAAAUCCAUUUUCUCCCAAUUAUUUAUUUAAUUAAUCAAGGUUUAGAUUGAAAUUUCGAAGCUUUAGCAAAACCCAGAUGUUAAUUUCACUGAUUAAUCACAACCCACGUUCUAAUUUUCACAUCUGAACAAAUCCUAGAUUGGAACAAAAAAAAGUAGGAAGAAGAAGAAGAAGACGGGAGUCAGAGAGAAGAAGAAGAAGGGAGUCAGAGAGAAGAAGUCAGAAAUUAAAAAAUUAAAUUGGGUUGCAGUGAGUUUCUGGCGAAGGGAUGGGAAGUUGCAGUGAGUUUUGGGGAGUUUUGGGGUUGGAGCAGUGAGUUUUGGGGUUGGGAUUCAACCACACCUAAGUCGGGUUUUUUGUGUGUGGAAGAGAUGGGAAGUUGCAGGAGAUGGAAGGGAAGAAGAAGUCAAAAAGUAAAAAUUAAAUUAUUAUUUUAUAAUAAAAAUAAUAAUAUUUUAAUAAAUUGACCAGCCUAUUUUUUUUUAGGGAUGGAGAUGCUUUGGUCUAUUACUGUUUAUU